UACGAAGGGGGCUAGCGUUGCUCGGAAUCACUGGGCGUAAAGCGCACGUAGGCGGAUUGCCAAGUCAGGGGUGAAAUCCUGGAGCUCAACUCCAGAACUGCCUUUGAUACUGGCGACCCUGAGUCCGGGAGAGGUGAGUGGAACUGCGAGUGUAGAGGUGAAAUUCGUAGAUAUUCGCAAGAACACCAGUGGCGAAGGCGGCUCACUGGCCCGGUACUGACGCUGAGGUGCGAAAGCGUGGGGAGCAAACAGG
This 253-nucleotide ribosomal RNA is filed under the name uncultured bacterium. RNAcentral's name for it is "partial 16S ribosomal RNA". It matches the Rfam family "Bacterial small subunit ribosomal RNA", at positions 524 to 776 of the family's 1533-position model. The record is from RNAcentral.